GAAUGUGAGGGCAAUCUGGCUGAUCUGGCUGUUAUAUCUGUCACCCCAUUGAUUGCCAAGGUUGAUUUGGCUGAUCUAGCUGGCUAGGUGGGUGUCCCCUUCCUCCCUUACCAUUCCAUGUGUGUCUCCCCAAAAACUAAGUGCUCGAUCGAAGAGGACUACCUUUCCCGAAUGGAGAUGGACUGGUCUUCAGUCGAGGGUAUGUGAGUAGCUGCACUCCCCUGCUAGGACCUCCAAACAAGCACAACAAUAGAUACAAAAUAAAAGCAUAAACUCAUAAAUCAUGCUCUUUGUUUAUAU
This 300-nucleotide small nuclear RNA is filed under the name Sorex araneus (European shrew). Its description in RNAcentral is "7SK RNA (ENSSARG00000017791.1)". It matches the Rfam family "7SK RNA". From Rfam's summary of the family: 7SK was discovered as an abundant small nuclear RNA in the mid-70s but a possible function has only recently been suggested. Lineage: Eukaryota; Metazoa; Chordata; Mammalia; Eulipotyphla; Soricidae. The record is from RNAcentral.